Molecule: ribosomal RNA, 466 nt
Filed under: uncultured bacterium
Lineage: Bacteria
Description: partial 16S ribosomal RNA
Rfam family: Bacterial small subunit ribosomal RNA
Source: RNAcentral
AACGAACGCUGGCGGUAUGCUUAACACAUGCAAGUCGAACGAACAAAAUUGGGGCUUGCUCCAAUUUUAGUGAGUGGCAAACGGGUGAGUAACACGUGGGAAUCUACCUAUCAGUACGGAAUAACAUUUGGAAACAGAUGCUAAUACCGUAUAUUCUCCAAGGAGGAAAGAUUUAUCGCUGAUAGAUGAGCACGCGUAAGAUUAGGUAGUUGGUAGGGUAAUGGCCUACCAAGCCGACGAUCUUUAGCUGGUCUGAGAAGAUGAUCAGCCACACUGGUGCUGAGACACGGCCCAGACUCCUACGGGAGGCAGCAGUGGGGAAUAUUGGACAAUGGGCGAAAGCCUGAUCCAGCAAUACCGCGUGAAUGAUGAAGGCCUUAGGGUUGUAAAGUUCUUUUAGUUGGAAAGAUAAUGACGGUACCAACAGAAAAAGCCCCGGCUAACUCCGUGCCAGGAGCCGCAGUAA